GAUGAAGAACGCAGCGCAAUGCGAUAAGUAAUGUGAAUUGCAGAAUUCAGUGAAUCAUCGAAUCUUUGAACGCACCUUGCGCCUUUUGGUAUUCCGAAAGGCACACCUGUUUGAGCGUCAUGAAUACCUCAAUCUCCAUCUUUUCUUCGGAUUGAUGGGUGACUUGGAUGUUGAGCCCUGCUGGUAUGCUAUAUCAGCUGGCUUUAAACUUAUUAGCCGGCUCUGUACUGGAUCGGUUUGACUCGACGUGAUAAUAUUAUCGUUGAGGAUGCAUGUCUCAUGCAGCCGGAAAGUAUCAAAGCAGCUUCUAGCUUGCCUUUAGUGCACUUUUACAUUUUAGACCUCAGAUCAGGUGGGACUACCCGCUGAACUUAAGCAUAUCAAUAAGCGGAGGA
Molecule: unclassified non-coding RNA, 395 nt
Filed under: soil metagenome
Description: partial contains 5.8S ribosomal RNA, internal transcribed spacer 2, and large subunit ribosomal RNA
Rfam family: 5.8S ribosomal RNA (bases 1-120)
Source: RNAcentral